This is a long non-coding RNA of Myotis brandtii (Brandt's bat), 1353 nucleotides long. RefSeq lists it as uncharacterized. Lineage: Eukaryota; Metazoa; Chordata; Mammalia; Chiroptera; Vespertilionidae. The transcript is spliced from 3 exons. The record is from RefSeq and is a predicted model, not a curated record.
GAACCGAACCUUGACCACCUAGUUCAUAGGUGGACACUCAAUCAUUGAGCCACACCAGCCGGGCAAUAAUUUCUAUAUCGAUUACACGUUAAAAUGGUCAAACUUUUGAAUUAUUAGGUUAAAUAAAAAUAUUAAAUUUAAUUUCAUCUUCGUUUUUACUAUUUUUUAGGGUGGUUACUAGACAAUUUUAAUUUACAGAUGUGACUAGCAUUAUAUUGUUGGACAUUGCUGUUCUAGAACAACACCCAUGGUAACAUGAAGCCCCCAUCUUUGAGUUUGGUGGCUGGUAAUACUGAGUAGGUGGUAACUUCUAGCUGCCAUCCUAACUUCUGAAGUUAAAUCAAGGCCCAAACUCAGCCAUUGGAACCUUUAAAAAGAAUGUUACCAACAUCUAAGACCUACCAUUUAAUCUUUAACACAGUAUUGGCUUUGAGCCCAGACCAUGGAAAUAUGGUACAGAUAUGUCUAAUUAAAUCAGAUUUGAUCACAGCUUUCCACAUUUUUUAAAGAGAGAGAUUGGGAAGUCCAAUAUGUUAGGAAUGACUCUGGAAAAAAUGUAGACCCCAAACAAAACUUCCACAAGUAACUUUUCACUACCACGGUUCAGCAGACAGGACGGCGGUAAGAGAAGACAUGAACAAAUGAAAAGUGUGGAAUUUUGGAGGAUCAGUAGAGCUCUUAUGAGUCAAUUCUCUGUUCAUGAGUGAAAUUCUGAACCCUUGAGUCCACUACCCGUUGCCUACUGCCACUCAAUGGCUGUUUCCUAUUGACUGCCUACCACAGAGCCCUCCCAAUAAAUGAAAACAUCUUAUUAUGGGUUUGAAAGGAUGCACAGAAGGACAGUGCAAGAAGUAAGAGGUCUAAGUUAGGAAAAGCCAAGAUGGAGUGAGUUAUGUGGAAAGAGCAGUCAAAGGGUUCUCAUGGCUUCCAGGUAUCCUCUUACCUUAGUGCCACCAUUGCACUCAGUCAUUGGUCAGGAGCAGCCUUGGGAAGCGUGGCUUUAACCCAAACUGGGUGAUGGAUUGCCGGUGACUUUGGUUUGAGGAGUCCCCAGUGGCCUUGUGGAGUUUUCUUUAGAACCGCACUGCAGUCUAAGACCAUUUCCCUCUGUCUCCCUCCCUUCCCGUUCUCUUUCACUCAGGGUCAGACCUCCAUGGUGGUCUGACAGUUCUCCCAACCUCUCCUCAUUUCCUCUACAUUUUCCCUAAUAACUUGUCCCUAAUACAUUUCUUAUAUCUCUAAUUUCAUCUUGGUGGCUGUUUCUUGGAGGACCCGGAAUAAUAUUGGAUGGAUACCAUAUGAUUUCACUCAUAUGUGGAAUCUGAUGAACAAAAUGAACUAACAAACAAAAUA